AAAUAUUUCUGGCCCUCUCCCAAGCCCGGCCAAAAAUAAGCCGAGCUCGGGCUAGGUCUAUCCCGUGGUGGGCCCAGUUGUUGGCAGCCAUAAUAAUAUCAAUAGUAAUUACAUUUUAAUAUGUUAAAUCAAAUCAAAAUUUAAUGAACAAUAAUUAAGAGGCCAAUUUGAAUGUAAAAGAAAAUGAGAGAGAAAUGCUUAUUUGGGCAUCUUCAUCAGUCAUAAAGCCAUUUCUGAGCAUAAGAUCAGUGAUGUAUAUACAAAGGCUUAUAUUCCUCUCCCCAAACAUACGAGUGGCAUGGGUUAAGCUCAACCCACCAGAACUAUGCCCAACCAUAGUUAGCAAGUUAGGGAAUAAUAAUAUAUGGGCAAGCUAAAACAUCGGUAAUGAAUCGGUUUUGUUUCAAAAAGUCGGUGGAAAAAAUUCGGGUAAAAGAUAGGGGUCGCCUAAAAAUGAGGUAAGUUAUAAAGUCAUGAAUAAUUUAGAUUUGUCUCAAAAAAAUGGAGUGAAAAAAUUAGAUAUGUAAAGAUGACAUAAUAUAGGAUUAUGAUUUGUCGUUAUUGUAUAGAUACAUUAAUGUCAUUUAACAACAAUUUUAUGACCUUACCUAGUGUUGUUAGAGUGAUACUUAGACAAUUUAUUGUCUAAACUUCCAAUAAGUCGAACAAUAAUGCUUAUUCUGUUGUCACAACACGAAACAUAUCACAUAUUUAUUUGGAGUAUAAAAUGAAAUAUAAAUAAUACUUAAAACAAGAACUACAUUAAUAGAUAACAAGAACUGUAAACUAAGAGAUAGGCUUAUUGUUUGAAAAAAAAAAACAUAAAAAGGACCCUCA
Molecule: long non-coding RNA, 837 nt
Filed under: Amborella trichopoda
Lineage: Eukaryota; Viridiplantae; Streptophyta; Magnoliopsida; Amborellales; Amborellaceae
Description: long non-coding RNA (ATRI_LNC002652)
Source: RNAcentral